GAUGAACGCUGGCGGCGUGCCUAAUACAUGCAAGUCGAGCGAACGGACCAGAAGCUUUCUUCUCUGAUGUUAUCGGCGGACGGGUGAUUAACACGUGGAUAACCUACCUAUAAGACUGGGAUAACUUCGGGAAACCGGAUCUAAUACCGGAUAAUAUUUUGAACCUCAUUGUUCACAAGUUAAAGAAGGUCUUGCUGUCACUUAUAGAUUGCUCCGGGCUGCAUUAGUUAGUUGGGAAGGUAACUGCUUACCAAAGCAACGAUGCAUAGCCGACCUGAGAGGGUGAUCGGCCACACUGGAACUGAGGAACGGUCCAGACACCUACGGGAGGCAGCAGUAGGGAAUCUUCCGCGAUGGGCGAAAGCCUGACGGAGCAACGCCGCGUGAGUGAUGAAGGUCUUCGGAUCGUAGAACUCUGUUAUUAGGGGAGAACAUAUGUGUAAGUAACUGUGCAGAUAUUGACGGUACCUAAUCAGUAAGCCACGGCUAACUACGUG
RNAcentral lists this ribosomal RNA (497 nucleotides) under uncultured bacterium. RNAcentral's name for it is "partial 16S ribosomal RNA". It matches the Rfam family "Bacterial small subunit ribosomal RNA", at positions 28 to 507 of the family's 1533-position model. The record is from RNAcentral.